UUAACUAUUAUAUAGUACUCAGACGACACUAAUAUUCAGGGUUUGGGGUCCUCUGGCGGACACUUACCAGCCGAAGCCGGUAGCCUGACCGAAAUCUGACGGCCCGCCAAAGCAACAAAGGUAAUAAAUAACACAGGGGUGGGAGAUCUACCCGUAAGGGCAUGAACUCGGUAAUGAUCCCUCCGCAGGUUCACCUACGGAGA
This 203-nucleotide unclassified non-coding RNA is filed under the name uncultured fungus. RNAcentral describes it as "sequence contains ITS1". Lineage: Eukaryota; Fungi. The record is from RNAcentral.